This 388-nucleotide ribosomal RNA is filed under the name uncultured bacterium. Its description in RNAcentral is "bacterial SSU rRNA". It matches the Rfam family "Bacterial small subunit ribosomal RNA", at positions 28 to 417 of the family's 1533-position model. The record is from RNAcentral.
GACGAACGCUGGCGGCGUGCUUAACACAUGCAAGUCGAGCGGUAAGGCCCUUUCGGGGGUACACGAGCGGCGAACGGGUGAGUAACACGUGGGUGACCUGCCCUCAGCUCUGGGAUAAGCCUGGGAAACCGGGUCUAAUACUGGAUAUGACUCCAUGACGCAUGUUGUGGGGUGGAAAGCCCUGUGCGGCUGAGGAUGGGCCCGCGGCCUAUCAGCUUGUUGGUGGGGUGANGGCCUACCAAGGCGACGACGGGUAGCCGGCCUGAGAGGGCGACCGGCCACACUGGGACUGAGACACGGCCCAGACUCCUACGGGGGGCAGCAGUGGGGAAUCUUGCGCAAUGGGCGAAAGCCUGACGCAGCGACGCCGCGUGAGGGAUGACGGCCU